Molecule: long non-coding RNA, 262 nt
Filed under: Lathyrus oleraceus (garden pea)
Lineage: Eukaryota; Viridiplantae; Streptophyta; Magnoliopsida; Fabales; Fabaceae
Description: Pisum sativum (pea) long non-coding RNA (PSAT_LNC015171)
Source: RNAcentral
GCAACUUCCUCUUUUUUUUUUCAACAAAUCUUUUAUCAACUUAGAAUAAAUAGGAAAUUAUUCUAAUGCCUUGUUAUGGGAAUUGGAUCCAUGUAUGAUUGGAUAAAUCUAAUAGUCAAAAGAAUAACAAAGAGAAAAAUAUAAUUUAAAGAAGCGGGAGCAAUUUUUUUAGUUUUAAUUUUUUUUAUUUAUAACUCGAGAAUACAAAAUUCAAUCAAAAAGAUCACAACACUCAUAUAAUUUGUUGUUACGUACGUUUUUU